GCCUACGGGGGGCAGCAGUAGGGAAUCUUCCACAAUGGGCGAAAGCCUGAUGGAGCAACGCCGCGUGGGUGAAGAAGGUCUUCGGAUCGUAAAACCCUGUUGUUAGAGAAGAAAGUGCGUGAGAGUAACUGUUCACGUUUCGACGGUAUCUAACCAGAAAGCCACGGCUAACUACGUGCCAGCAGCCGCGGUAAUACGUAGGUGGCAAGCGUUAUCCGGAUUUAUUGGGCAUAAAGGGAACGCAGGCGGUCUUUUAAGUCUGAUGUGAAAGCCUUCGGCUUAACCGGAGUAGGGCAUUGGAAACU
RNAcentral lists this ribosomal RNA (305 nucleotides) under uncultured bacterium. Its description in RNAcentral is "bacterial SSU rRNA". It matches the Rfam family "Bacterial small subunit ribosomal RNA", at positions 337 to 634 of the family's 1533-position model. The record is from RNAcentral.